AGUGAACGCUGGCGGUAGGCCUAACACAUGCAAGUCGAACGGCAGCACAGUAAGGGCUUGCUCUUACGGGUGGCGAGUGGCGGACGGGUGAGGAAUACAUCGGAAUCUACUUUUUCGUGGGGGAUAACGUAGGGAAACUUACGCUAAUACCGCAUACGACCUACGGGUGAAAGCAGGGGAUCUUCGGACCUUGCGCGAUUGAAUGAGCCGAUGUCGGAUUAGCUAGUUGGCGGGGUAAAGGCCCACCAAGGCGACGAUCCGUAGCUGGUCUGAGAGGAUGAUCAGCCACACUGGAACUGAGACACGGUCCAGACUCCUACGGGAGGCAGCAGUGGGGAAUAUUGGACAAUGGGCGCAAGCCUGAUCCAGCCAUACCGCGUGGGUGAAGAAGGCCUUCGGGUUGUAAAGCCCUUUUGUUGGGAAAGAAAAGCAGCAGGUUAAUACCCCGCUGUUCUGACGGUACCCAAAGAAUAAACACCGGCUAACUUCGU
RNAcentral lists this ribosomal RNA (491 nucleotides) under uncultured bacterium. RNAcentral's name for it is "partial 16S ribosomal RNA". It matches the Rfam family "Bacterial small subunit ribosomal RNA", at positions 29 to 506 of the family's 1533-position model. The record is from RNAcentral.